The sequence is a small nuclear RNA, 162 nucleotides long. It matches the Rfam family "U1 spliceosomal RNA". Rfam says of the family: U1 is a small nuclear RNA (snRNA) component of the spliceosome (involved in pre-mRNA splicing). Its 5' end forms complementary base pairs with the 5' splice junction, thus defining the 5' donor site of an intron. The record is from Rfam.
AUACUUACCUGGACGGGGUCAAUGGGCGAUCAUGAAGGCCCAUGGCCUAGGUUGGUGGCCUCCAUUGCACUUGGGAGGUGCACCCGCCUAAGGUCAGCCCAAAGUGGCUGAGCCUACGUCAUAAUUUGUGGCAGUGGGGGCCUGCGUUCGCGCGGCCCCCUA